GGCCGCGAGGCCUCUCCUAACGCCCGCCGCCGCCUGGUAACGCCCGCCCCGCGCGGACAGGGCCAGCGCAGCCCCCGCGGGGUCGCAGGAACGGUUAAUCGCUCUCGAGAGGGAAAAAAACGGCCACGGCCUUGCGGGGCAAAAUCGAGCUUCCUUCGAGCCGGAAUCGAACCAGCGACCUAAGGAUUCCCGCGGGCGGCGCCUCUACAGUCCUCCGCUCUACCAGCUGAGCUAUCGAAGGGAACUGGCAACAGUUGCCGUUCCGCCCCUCACAGCUUAGCGGGCGCGGCGGAACAUGGCGCGCGGUCCUCAUUUCUUGUGGGGAGAGAGACUGUGGGUCCAGUUACCGUCAUGCUGGUUUUGGAGAGCACUUUAUGACUAUUAUUAUUAUUAAUAAUACUAAAUAGCGCUUUUCAUGCACCACACGAGAAGCAGUUGCCACCCAAAAAGUGAAAAGCCACACAAUACCACACAUACUUACACACCAAGCUUGUGUGCUUUGCCAACCUGCGCUUUCUCCUGGCACACGCAGCCCAAAUCUGUGACAGUUCUAAAGGGAGGUAUUCUGAGCCCACAGCACUUCAGGUGUGAGGCAUUGCUACAGGCAGGGGCACACUUGCACAGCAAGCACUGCUUGCUUGGAGAGAAUCACCAGAACAAACUCCUGCGUCCCAAAACACAGUGUUACAAUUACUUCCAGGGCUGACUGGUCUUGGAGGCACCUGCACCUCACAGGCCCGGCAAGAGGAAGUCAUUGAAACCUACAAAACCUCUGGUGCUUGCAUAUCCAUCUGCUGCACAGGGCCCUGGAGCAAGUAAAAAUGUGGGCAGCGGUGUCUGUUCCUAGAGAGGAAGCAGUGAGGUUCCCACUUGCAAGGCCUCCCCUCUGCUGCUGACUGAUGAUGGAUCAAGCUUUUAGGAGAAAUGCUCACCAGCAUUAAGGCUAUGGGUUGGGAGUUUCUGAGCCGACAAACCAUGGAGUAUCUUCCUGCGACAGUGAGAAGGGCAUUCCUGGAGUUGGUGUUUGAAGACACUUGUCCGUGGUGUUUGCUCGAUUCCUGAAUGUUUAUGGUAGGGCACAAUCAUCAGUAUUUUUCCUUUAUUAAUAUUAGUGUGCUUUUUGCUUUAGAGGUCAAAACAAAUAAUCAGAACAGCACAUGGUUUCUUAUUUCAUACACCUUUGCCUCAACUUCAGAAGCAGAUUCAUCUACUGAAAAUUAUUACACGGCUCAAGAGAGGAAAAUCUUCCCGAGAUUCACUGUAGCACAAUCUGUGCAUUUUCCAGAUACUUCCUUACACAAAAGUCUUAAGACUCCAUUUAUUUGCAUAAUAAAGCCUUAUGGGUGUGGAUGUACAUACAUCCUCACAUGUGUAUGUUUACAUGCGUGCAUCUUCACGUCCCUCCUUUCGGGCGGGGAGGUGGCAAUGGAGCAGAGCUCGCGAGAAACCUUGGCUUGCAGCGCCCCCUGCACACGCACACCAGAACCUCAGCCCUUGGCACAUCCCAUAAUACACCUCUGGAGGAACGACAAAAAGCAAACGAGAAACUAACAUACAUUACAAACCUACUCUCACAAGGCUUACCAACAUCAAAGCUGUGACAAAAGCUGUAAUUAAAAAAAAAAAGAGAGAGAGAACAAAGCUCACCUUGCC
Long non-coding RNA from Gallus gallus (chicken), 1653 nucleotides. RefSeq lists it as uncharacterized. NCBI's taxonomy places the organism in Eukaryota, Metazoa, Chordata, Aves, Galliformes, Phasianidae. The record is from RefSeq and is a predicted model, not a curated record. The transcript has 3 exons.